Molecule: ribosomal RNA, 482 nt
Filed under: uncultured bacterium
Lineage: Bacteria
Description: partial 16S ribosomal RNA
Rfam family: Bacterial small subunit ribosomal RNA
Source: RNAcentral
AUUGAACGCUGGCGGCAUGCUUUACACAUGCAAGUCGAACGGUAACAGGCCGCAAGGUGCUGACGAGUGGCGAACGGGUGAGUAAUGCAUCGGAACGUGCCCAGUCGUGGGGGAUAACUACUCGAAAGAGUAGCUAAUACCGCAUGCGAUCUAUGGAUGAAAGCGGGGGACCGUAAGGCCUCGCGCGAUUGGAGCGGCCGAUGUCAGAUUAGGUAGUUGGUGGGGUAAAGGCUCACCAAGCCAACGAUCUGUAGCUGGUCUGAGAGGACAACCAGCCACACUGGGACUGAGACACGGCCCAGACUCCUACGGGAGGCAGCAGUGGGGAAUUUUGGACAAUGGGCGCAAGCCUGAUCCAGCAAUGCCGCGUGCAGGAAGAAGGCCUUCGGGUUGUAAACUGCUUUUGUACGGAACGAAACGGCUCUGGUUAAUACCCGGGGCUAAUGACGGUACCGUAAGAAUAAGCACCGGCUAACUACGUG